GCAGCUGCAGUGUUCCAGUUUCGUCGAAUUACUUUGGAGAUCCAUGCACAGGGGUCACAAAAAGCCUUGCGGUGGAAGCUGCAUGUUCAUGACAUGUCUGAUAAAUAUUGGUUCGUAGGAAGCAAAAUCAGUUUGGAGAAGGUUUCCAAGGUGAAACCUUCUCUGUGUAGGCAAGCAGGCAAAAGGAAUAAAUGUUCCCAUGCUGGUCAAAAGGAAUAAAUAUUCCCAAAUUUGCUACAUCCAAGCUAUUAGAUAGUACACUUAGAAAGGGCUGUCCUUGUUAAGAUGGCAAAUUCAUCCAUCAUGGCAAAGAAGGUGAUCCUUUUGUAAUCCUUGUUAAAAAUAGACUUUGUAUUUCAAUCAAGUUUAAUUACAAAUCUUCACCAGAAAAAAGUUUUAACUACACUUCAGUAACUGGGCAGUUUUGUCAUACCAGAAGACAAAAGUACGCACCUGGAAUCCUGAAGACCAAGUAAUUAUUAGAGUCUGCAGGUAGUUAAUUUUGUGCUGCAGAAAAGAAAAUGGAGGGGAUUAACAGACCUCAAUAACAUAUACCUUACUAAAACUCCUAGGUUCCCAUGAUGUUUGUGGCAUAAUGGUCCAGCUCGCCGUACUUUGCUUCAGCCUCUUAAAAGUGGCUUACCUCUAGCACAGAUCUCACAAUCGUUUGGAAUGGAAAGACUUUCACAGAUUGAUGAAGCACAUGUAUCAGGGCAUGCAACAUGAUGAUCAUCCAUUUCCAUUAUGCUGCAAAACUCAAUGGAAAGACU
RNAcentral lists this long non-coding RNA (770 nucleotides) under Setaria italica (foxtail millet). RNAcentral describes it as "long non-coding RNA (SITA_LNC007286)". The record is from RNAcentral. Lineage: Eukaryota; Viridiplantae; Streptophyta; Magnoliopsida; Poales; Poaceae.